GCGCGAUUAGCUCAGCGGGAGAGCACUACCUUGACACGGUAGGGGUCACUGGUUCAAUCCCAGUAUCGCGCA
This is a transfer RNA of 72 nucleotides. It matches the Rfam family "tRNA". From Rfam's summary of the family: Transfer RNA (tRNA) molecules are approximately 80 nucleotides in length. Their secondary structure includes four short double-helical elements and three loops (D, anti-codon, and T loops). The record is from Rfam.